UGCUUUCUCAUUGAUCCAAAAACCAAACAAAAACUAAACAAUAAAGAUACAGGUCAAAAAACAACAAAACACGACCAAAAAAACCUCCCAAAAUGAAACAAUAAUUGAAAACAAAAAUAAUAGAAAGAUUACGCAAAAACCAAACUGGGACGAAUCUAGAAGCAAUAAGGCACCGUCCCUUACACCAAAUCAAAUGCGUUGCUUUUUCUCCAUCCCAACAAGUCUUCAAUGUUCACAAUUGAUGGUUUCACAAAAAAGGAAAGAGCAUCCAAUAGAUAAACCAAACGUCUAGAAAAAAAAAAAUCCUUACCCCUAUUCAAUUUCCUUCCCCUCCCCUUUCAAUCUGGUUCUCUUGUCCUCCCCCUCACCCUCUUGGUAUCAACAGUCGAAGAAGCAUUCCCCUCCAGAUAAAGAUCGAGUGGAAAAUCGAGGAGAAUAGAAAAUUACCAAAAAGCCUAUAUACUUUGACAUUUCUGCAAUUUAACCAGAUUAUCAAAAGCUCUGUUAGGUUGGAAGCUUAUCGGAGAUCUAUCACACUAUCCAACAAUUAUAUUGGUAGAUUUUGAUAUCUUGAUCAAGGUUAUAAUGGCAUGUUAUAGGUGAAUUGUGUUUGAUGAGAUGUUGUUAUGUUUGGCUUGUAAAUGUAGUAUUAUGGUUGAUGAACUAUUGGCAAAGUGAUCCUUUAAUGGUUAGUGUUGAAAUGGUCAAAUGAAUGUAUGUUGUAAAUGACCAAUUUGGUAUGUUUGAAUGUAAUUUGACCUGUGGUCAUUGUGGCAAGUUUGGUAUGGUAAUAGGAUAAAAAUGCACAAGUGAUGAAUGACUAAAUUAUGCAUAUGUUUAAGUA
Molecule: long non-coding RNA, 844 nt
Organism: Gossypium arboreum
Lineage: Eukaryota; Viridiplantae; Streptophyta; Magnoliopsida; Malvales; Malvaceae
Exons: 3
Source: RefSeq, a predicted model, not a curated record